UACUUUUGAUGUAGUAUUCUUGAACGAAAAAACUGUUUUGCCUCGUGCUUUUCUAGACCAAGAUCAAGCUGAAAGUCAUCUAACCGCCCAUACACAAGACUGUCUACCAGAUUUCAAUUGUUUCAGGCUCGUUCUGAUGUCAGUUUUACCGAGAGUAUGGAAUCUUUGUGCGCCUACCCAACAGCUGAAAGUUCGGAAAAUGAGGCAAGCCAUUCUAUAGGAGAUAAUUCGGAUGGUGAGAUAAAGACAGAGGCCGUCGCAACUCAAGCGGGUGACAGCACGCAGGCGUUUGGCCAGCCUUUUCAGUGUAACAUCUGCUUGGAGCCGGUAUCAUUUCCUGUUGUGACACAGUGUGGACAUCUUUAUUGUUGGCCUUGUCUAUAUAAGUGGCUGGGGCAUCAUCCUGUCUGUCCUGUGUGUAAGGCUGGUAUCUAUAAAGACAAGGUUAUUUUUAUUUACGGCCAUGAAAAAUCUAUAAGAGACGCAGAGAAGCUUGUGUCUGAGUGUCCUACGAGUCAACGCCCAGAAGUGCCUCCAACCUACGAGUUCCCGCAUCAUCCCAAUUUCGUAGAGCCAGGAGAUGGCACCCGACAUUCUACCGCGACGUACACAAUCUCUGCGCCGUUCAUCCCUUCUUUCUUGCGACUUCAAUUUACGGUACACCAACCAUUCGGGGACGCACAGAUGAGACCUGAGCGAGACCUGCAAGCAAUGUGGUCGAUGCUAUUCAUAUACAUCGGGAUGGCCGUUUUCUUUUUCAUUGUGCUAUUCUAGCAUCUCGUCACUGAAGACUGAAGGCCACUUGCAAAGAUGGCGAGGAUACGAAAAGUGUAUAACUGUAUAUCAAUUUGAAUUUUUUUCUUGCGUGUAUGCAGAGAUCGAUCUCUGCGGAUAGUCCUCGUGUGAUUCUCCCUCUACAGGGGGAAACAACCCGCGCAUUGUCUCUAGUAAUUUUUUUAAUGUACGCAACUCGAUGGCUUCGGCUGUUUUUCGAUCAUA
Molecule: long non-coding RNA, 999 nt
Organism: Schistocerca gregaria
Lineage: Eukaryota; Metazoa; Arthropoda; Insecta; Orthoptera; Acrididae
Exons: 5
Source: RefSeq, a predicted model, not a curated record